RNAcentral lists this long non-coding RNA (341 nucleotides) under Brachypodium distachyon (stiff brome). RNAcentral describes it as "long non-coding RNA (BDIS_LNC005494)". Lineage: Eukaryota; Viridiplantae; Streptophyta; Magnoliopsida; Poales; Poaceae. The record is from RNAcentral.
UAUAUAAUAGAUGCUCACGUUCGAGCAAAGAUACUAAAAAAAGGAAAAAAAGAAGAAUUACAAAGGAGACAGGAGAAAGCCUAAGAAGCGUAAACUUCAAACUCGGCCCACCUCCUGGCUCGGCGCAGGAGUCGACGAUGGCGGAGCCACCUCUCCUUCAGCGGCCAUACUCCCCAGCGGAGUCGACAGUUGGGACGCCAGUUCUUCCCCAAGCUGGAAGUAAGGAGUCAAGGCCACCUCCUCCCCGCUGGGUAACAACGGAGGGCCUGAAGCUACCUUCCGCAGCAUGUCCUCGUCGACGCCGUGUGCUAAUGCUAACACGAACACGAACGUUGACUCCG